RNAcentral lists this ribosomal RNA (495 nucleotides) under uncultured bacterium. RNAcentral describes it as "partial 16S ribosomal RNA". It matches the Rfam family "Bacterial small subunit ribosomal RNA", at positions 28 to 507 of the family's 1533-position model. The record is from RNAcentral.
GACGAACGCUGGCGGCGUGCCUAAUACAUGCAAGUAGGACGCUGAAGGAGGAGCUUGCUUCUCUGGAUGAGUUGCGAACGGGUGAGUAACGCGUAGGUAACCUGCCUGGUAGCGGGGGAUAACUAUUGGAAACGAUAGCUAAUACCGCAUAAUAUUGACUAUUGCAUGAUAGUCAGUUGAAAGGUGCAACUGCACCACUACCAGAUGGACCUGCGUUGUAUUAGCUAGUUGGUGGGGUAACGGCUCACCAAGGCGACGAUACAUAGCCGACCUGAGAGGGUGAUCGGCCACACUGGGACUGAGACACGGCCCAGACUCCUACGGGAGGCAGCAGUAGGGAAUCUUCGGCAAUGGACGGAAGUCUGACCGAGCAACGCCGCGUGAGUGAAGAAGGUUUUCGGAUCGUAAAGCUCUGUUGUAAGAGAAGAACGAGUGUGAGAGUGGAAAGCUCACACUGUGACGGUAUCUGACCAGAAAGGGACGGCUAACUACGUG